RNAcentral lists this transfer RNA (91 nucleotides) under Myxococcota bacterium. RNAcentral's name for it is "tRNA-Ser". It matches the Rfam family "tRNA". Rfam says of the family: Transfer RNA (tRNA) molecules are approximately 80 nucleotides in length. Lineage: Bacteria; Pseudomonadati; Myxococcota. The record is from RNAcentral.
GGAGAGAUGGCCGAGUGGCCGAAGGCGCUCGCCUGCUAAGCGAGUGUAGGUCAAAAGCCUACCGUGGGUUCAAAUCCCACUCUCUCCGCCA